Molecule: long non-coding RNA, 28744 nt
Filed under: Populus tremula
Lineage: Eukaryota; Viridiplantae; Streptophyta; Magnoliopsida; Malpighiales; Salicaceae
Description: long non-coding RNA (PTRE_LNC000273)
Source: RNAcentral
AUUGUCUCAAUGGUUCUAUGAGUCAAUGAUAACAGCAGUCACAGUACUAAACCUUUUAUGUUCGACCAAAAUUUGAAUCAUGCAGUUAUAAGGAAUCAAGUAUCAAGCAUGUUCUGACAUGAGAAGCUAGAAAUAGCAACAAUUGAAAGUUAAAUGAUGGUAGGCAAGCUAACAACUGCUCCCAAAAAGAAAUUACUGCCAAAUGUCCACUUAUUUAAGUUGAAAAAUACAAGAUUGAACCAAUAGUUCACGGUUUGUUCAGAUCCAUGAUGCUUAAAGAGAAGGAUUCCAGCUUACCAAUAGUCGCAGAAGGAGUUACUGGAAAGUCAGAGAGCACGCCAUCAACAGAGAAGUCAACAUUGUCAACAAAAUUGAGAUACUCAGUUACAGGAUCAUAACUGUAAUUGUAACUCAGUGGAACGUCAUUAUAAAAAUCUGAUACAAAAACCUCUAGCCCUGCCUUGUGUGCAUCCGAGACGAUAAAAGUAUGAGGUUGUAAGUAAUUAUUAGCAUCCAAAGGCCAUAUGUAUGACUUAGGGAUAAGAAUUCCAGAUGCAAAUGUCUUGAUGAAAGUAAAGUUGUUUGAGAGAGAACCGUAUGUCUCAUUUGUUGAUGGCUCGAUGACAUUUCGUUCCAGAAACCGGAAGACCAGUUUUGUUAUAUUUAGGUUAACUCUCUUAACAACACUUCUCAAGAAACCCACUUCUGGUGAUGAGAGAUGAUUAAUGACAACCCUUCUGUAUAGAGACAGUACAUAGUUUCUCAUACUCAAAUUGUGCUGUGUGAAGAACGCAUCAUGCUGCAAAAGUAUCAGAACAAAAAGAUUUGGUUGAAAUAAUAGAUGGUAGUGCACGUUCCACUGAAUUAAAGGGAAGGGAAGAACAGCAACAGCAGUAAAGAAGGCUUCAUGUUAAUAAGUUCAUAGAAGGUACUGGUGUAAGAUAAAACAGAAAUUAUAUUGCUCCUCUACCUGAAUAUUCAACCAUAAGCCUGGUGGUUUUAAGUUAGCCACAUCCUCAACAGUUUGUAUGGGAUAAAUGUUAUCAAACUUUUCACUCCGAGAAUAGAUUCCCUGAGUCACUGUCAAGGAAAAACAAUGUCAGAAUCAGAAGUUCAAGGCAGGAAUUGAGAAGUUAAGAUCCACACAGACUGGUAUGCUAAGAAAAUUUUCAGAGUCAAUCUCAUGAAGAUCAAAUUAGAUAAAAUCUCCUUCGGAGAUUAAUGAGUCGGUCCCUAUCAGUAAAAUCUGAAGAUCAACAAUGGCGUAUCCAAAUCCAAAAACAAAACAACCCCCCAUUGGUUUUUUCUUCAAAUAUUUGAUUGAAGUAUGCUAUCUGCAAUAAAACUCUCAGUGUCUCUAAAUGACCUGAUGUUAUUAACUGUCUUUCAUGCUUGACCAUUACUAACUAUCACUUAUACAUCAAGCAAACUUCACAAACAGAAGGACUAUAACAACAACAAUAAAUAAUAAGAAUGGAGAAUAAACAGCUUGUACUUUUGUGUUAUUCUUAUGCAACUAAAAGGGGUAAGGCCUUGAGUUGGACUCCCGCCUUUGUCAAUUCAUUGCUAAUUUCAACAAAAAAUGAAAAGAAGGAAAUGGCAGCUGAUUCACUUGAUUCAUGCAAAUUUUUAGCAAUCAACAAUAAGAAAAUCUGGAUAUUUCAAAUGAUCACUUCAUGUAAUAAUAAUACUUUACAAGAAGUAUAGAAAUAAACAGGCUUCCAAAAAAUGACCAAUAACCAUAUGAAGCAAUUUGUUGAAGUCUUAGCCAAACUCACAGAAUACAAGUGACAAUUCAUUGAGAGUGAAAUCCACUGUGAACCAUCCUUGGGUAGGAAUUCCAUUAACUAGGUACAACUUAUCCUUAUUUUGCAUAACCUGUGCAAUGCUAGUAGAAUUGUCAAGCCUGAGAUCAGGGGCACAAAUCCCCACAGCAUCUUUAGUUAACUGCACAUCACACCAUAGGACAACAUCCGGCAAACUUGUAAGCGUUGCAAACCGGAAAGCAACUGAGCUAGAAUCAGGAAAUAAUCCUGAAAACCCGCCACGUGCUAUGACUAAAGGGCGAUUUCCUGUAGAAUGAAAUUAAUUAGUGAGCUUUUUUCAUUAUAAGGUCGAUUGACUCUACUCAAAUGUGUUAUAGGGUCAUAUUUUUAUCCAUGCAAAUUUACUGCAACACAGAUUGCAAGUUCACUAACCCAAAAUUGUUAUUGAAACACAAAUUACAUCAAAUUAUUUUGUGAGCAUACAAGAAUUAGUUAAGUUGCAAGUUCAACAUUUUUUGGGUAUUCAUAAUAGAAAUAUUUUGGAAAGCACCAAGAAUCUUAUGAGUAGCCAUUUUUCUUGAAAGAAUUUUAUUGACCAACAAAAUUAUUAUUUUUUGGUCAAUUUUCUCAACAAACUCAGAUUUAUAGAAACCUCCGGUUUUGGAAAGCCAGGUUCAAGCAAAUUAACUAUCACAUAAAACAAUUGACUUAUCAGAACUUAGAGUGUGGGGAAAUGUAAAAAUAAAAAUGAAAAACCACCCACAACACCAAUAUCCAAAAGCCUGUAAUUCAUGAAAAAGAAAUGCAUGCACUUUUUUUUGUGUGUGUAUAAUGAACUGAACUGGUAGGAAUUUCAUAUAAAUUGAAGGUUUUCCAUAAAUGACAUGAUGUGAUUUCUCCAAGAAAAGAAAGAAAUUCAAGAAUUCAUUUUGCAUAAGCCCAUGAUGAAAUCAAAAUCAGCUUUCGAAAAAGAAAUCAAUUUUAAUCUUUGAAUUUAAAGUAAUCUUCAAGGCCCAAUACAAACAAGUGAUCUUAUUCUAGAAAUAGUAACCAUGUUGUUCCUUGCUAUUUUCUUAACUAAAGCUUAUUUAAAACGGUGUUUAACGAUCUAGGAUGCCAUAAAUAAAAUUAUCACAAAAUUAUCACAAAUUCUACUAAUUACUCAUUUAUCAUAAACCAAAAGUAAAAAAAAAAGAGUAAAAUAUUGCAUCUCUUGUAUAUUUUCAAUAUUUAUUUAAGGCCAAAUCUUCAAAGACGGAAAACAAACUUCCCUACAAAUGCAACUAGCUACUAAGCUGUAAUUCUAAAAUACAAAAUCGAGCAUCAAAUGCAUUUUCCUAGCAAACGAACACAAAAUUUAGAGGGAGAGAGAAAUCUGAGUGCGUGGUAGUGAGAGAAAAGCAAAGACAGACCGGUGAGUGUUUUCCAGGUACUAGCAGAUCCCUGAGCAGAGACAACAACCACCAAUGACUGAAGUAGUAGCACAGCUAGUAGAGGAGUGAAGAACGAGCGUAAGUUACACAUUGCCGGAAAAUCUAGCCGGCAACUUGUUGGAGGAGCUUAAGCAAAACUCCGGCCAAUAUAUAUCUAGACAGAGACACCGACCAUUAAUCUUACUAAAACAAAUAUAUCACAUAAUAUGUGGUAAGUUAACAAUUGAGUUGGACUAGAGAUCCCUAUCUGCCCUCUCAGUGAUGGAAUCGAGAUGGCUCGACCACUGAGUAAAAGGUGACAAGUGCUGGUUGGAAGACAGCUAGACUGGCGUCCACACCAUGAGCACAAACAAUCUGGCAACAGUCCACUUGUCAUGAUAUGAUUGGAGGGCGCAUUGAGGAAAGCAAAACGCGUAGAAUGGUUCUCCUAUUUUAGGUGAAGGUGACUUGUCAGCACGCAAAGAGAAAACAAUAAAACAUCCACGAACGACAAUAUUGGGAAAAGAUGAUGGUGACCAAUUGGCAACAAUAGUUUACAUUUAGGAGUCAAUAAAUAGACUUAUCAUUUUGACAUGACUAUUUUGAUAAUGACCCAUUGUUUUUUUAAUAAUAAUUAUAUCUACAAUUUUUAAAUAUAUAUUUAUUUAUUAAUUCUUUGCUUUAUAUAUAUUGUGGUUUUCUUGGGUUUUUAAUAGAAAAUGUAUAUCAAAAAAAAAAAAAACUAAGCCUAGAGAUCUUUUCAUUAUACACGCAUACAUUGUGCAUCCUUUUACAAAUUAUUAUUAAUUAAAUCUCUAAUUUGUUUUUUGUUUUUUUUACUGAUUUUUUUUAGCAAGGUUGAUAAUCAAUUGUUUCAAAAUUGUUAACAUAGGCAAAAUUAAAGGAUAAAAGACUAAAGGAAAAAUAGGUGUUGUUUCUAUUGAUCUUUAGGUAAUACAUUUAUGAUUUUAUAUAUGUUUUGAGGAUAAUAAUAAUAUCAAAAUUGUACUAAUAAUAUAAUUGGUUGAGAAUAAAUUUUAAACUUGUUUUAUAUGAAGAAUACAUCAACAAGCAUGGAUCAUGUCCAAGAAGGAAGCAAAACGAAGUAUUUAUUUUAGUGCUCAUGUGUAAAUUUUUAUAUACUACUUAAAAGCACUAAUUAAAAUGAAUUCACACAUUUCACUUCUCAUAUAUUUUAAAAUGAUUGAUAAAACGGUUCUAAAAAUUCAUCAGGUUUAAAACUAUCAAAACUAGAAUUAUGCAUGAACCAGUUGAUCAUUUGAUGAUACCAAAUGAACCGGUCAACUACUUGCUCAUCAGGGAUGAACACCUAGAAAUUUAUAGAAACUGAUCGAUUGCUUCAGCCGUCAGUGGGUUCUAGCGACUAGUUUCUUUUGAAAACUUAUAAAUAACUUUAUUCUUGCAAAAAUGUAAGAGAAUUCCGAACAUACAAUAUAUAAAGACUAUUUCAAAAGCAAAACUAGCUAGAAAAUCAUCAAUCCUAACAUACUAUAAUGUUAUGCUAAAUUGAACCUUCAUAUUCUAGCACAAGAGUAUAAAUUCUCACACUCACUACACUUAAACACUUUAUAAGUGUUAUUUAGUGAGUUAUAGACAUCAUAGUUUUCAAUUGUACUAUCUACUCUUUGAAAUAGUGUUGUUACAUUUCAAACAAUUGUAAACCUUCAAAAGUUUAGGUGAAAAACUCUUGGUCAUUGGUGAAAAAAGGGCUCAAUAAUGAUUCAUCAAGGACAUUGUAAUCUUUAGAUUGGAUUAGAAAAGAAUAUAAUACUUAAGAUCAGCUUAGUGUUUGAGGUGUGGAUGUAAGCUUUUUAAACUACAUUAAAAAUCAGUUUGCAAUCUCUCUUCCUUAUUCUUUUACUUUACACAAUUUAAUUAGAUUAUUGGUUAAUUGUGUUUAAUUUUUUUUAAUUAAUUGCAAUAUUUGUUAAUGGUAGAGGAACACCUAAUUCAUCCAUCUUAAGUAUUAUUGUUGUCUUAAUCCUAUAACAACAAUUGAUAUUAGAGCAUGGUUCUCAUUUAUAUAAGUUUGCUCAGACUUUAAGUAGAAUUGCAACCAUUAGUUUUAAUAUACAAAAUGAAGGAUCAUCAACCUCUAGGCCACUUUUCUUUGAUGAUAAUGACUAUGCUUACUGGAAAACUAUGAUAAUUAUACAUCUUCAAUCCAUUGAUUAUGAUUUAUGUUUAUCUAUAAAGAAUGGACCUCAUAAAUAUACCAGGACCGAAAAUGGUGUUACAAUUUCUAAGGAUAUAAAUGAGUAUAUGGAUGGUGAUAAAAAUUACUUUAUAUGAAUACUAAAGCUUUGAUUACUUUGUAUAGUGCAUUAAGUAAAAGUAACUUUAAUAGAAUCACAUCUUGCAAAAAUGCUAGGGAUAUAUGGCAUGCUUUAGAAAUAACACAUGAAGAAACUAACCAGGUUAAAAAAUCCAAAAUAGAAAUGUUAAUUCAUCAAUAUGAAUUAUUCAAAAAUGCUUUUAAAUGAAUUCAUAACUGGUAUGUUUACUAGAAUGACAACUAUGACUAAUAGUUUGUAUGAUCUUAGUAGGAAUAAUAUGAAUUCUAAUAUCGUGAGCAAAACUCUUAGGUCCUUACUGAAGACUUGUGAUGUAAAGGUGAUGGCUAUUCAAAAAGCUAAUGAUCUCACCAAACUUCCAUUGGAAUAGCUCAUCGAUUCUUUGAUGACAUAUGAAAUAAUAAUGGAAAAGCAAGAGCAAAAAGAAAAAAUAAAAAAGCAUUUAAAAAUCAUACAUCAUGUUGAUGAUGAUGAUGAUGAUAAAAAAGGAAUUGAAAAAGAUAUUUCUUUGAUCACAAGACAAUUCUGAAGCUUUCUAAGGAAGAAGCAGGGAAAUAAAAGAUUAAUAAACUUCAAGAAAAAAGAAAACAAAGAGGAACCUAGCAAAGAGCAAUGAAGGUCCUUCAAAUGCAACAAUAUGAGAUAUAUCAAGGUAGAUUAUUCUAUUCUUUAAAACAAGAAGAAAAAUUCUCAUCACAAAAGGGCAAUGAAAACAAGUUGGAGUGACGAUUCAGAUUUUAGCUUAAGCAAUGAGGAAGAGCAUGUUGCAAACAUGUGUUUCAUAGGAAUUGAGAACGAUAAUGAGAUACUUUCUUCAAAUGAUGAACCGGACCUCUAUUAUAAUAAAUUGUGUGAUGCUUUUGAGAAAUUGUAUGAUGAAUUCUAAAAGUUAGGUUCUAAGUAUAGUUUAUUAAAAAAUAUUUAUGCAUUUUCACUUGUUGAGAAAGAUACAUUAGAAAAAAAAAAAAAUGCAUGCAUUAUAGUUGAUGGUUGUAAUAAGAUGAACCAACUUGAAAAGAAAAAUAAGGCUUUAAAGGAAAAUGUUGAAAAGUUAAACAUUACAUCAGGAAAAUUCACUCAAGUUUCUAUGAUUUUGGAAACCAUGUUGGGUUGUCAAAGAUGUGUUUUCAACAAAAAAGGGUUAGGCUACCAACCCAAAAGGAAGCAAAAGUAUUUGAAAAAUUACUUUGUCAAAGCCAAACAAUCACAUAACUCAGACCAUGGGUCAUUUGAUUUAUACAUGUUCUAUUCAGAAGGACAAGAGUUAUAAUAUGACUUAGGUUCCAAAAGGAACCACCACUAACUACAAAAGAUGGAAAAAGGUAUGGGUACCAAAAACCUCAUCAUGGUUUUAUGUGUGUAGGAAUCAAGUGAAUAUAGGGAGUGGUUCUUGAAUAUUGUUUACUCGAGACAUAUGACCAAAAAUGAUUUAUUGUUCUUAAACAUUACCAAGAUCAAUAGUGGAAAAGUCAUAUUUGGAGACAACUUAAAAGGAAAGAUCAUUGGAGUUGGCAAUAUUAGAGGGAAGUCUUCUCCUUUAAUAGAAAAUUUAUUUCUUAUUGAUAGUUUAAAACAUAAUUUGCUUAGUAUUAACCAAUUAUAUGAUAAAGGCUAUGUGAUUGUUUUUAACCAUGCACGUUGUUUUAUCCUUGAAAAUGAUAAAGUUAUAUUUCUUGAUAAUAAAAAAGAAAAUGUUUAUAAGAUUAAGAUUGAUGCAUGCAUGGGGAUAUAAAGUUGUCUUGUUGCUAGCAUUAAUGAUAGUUUUCUUUGGCAUAGAAUACAUGUCAUAUAAGCAUAGACAUCCUUUCUAAACUUGUCAAAAAUGAACUUGUUAAAGGUCUUCCUCAUAUUGCAUUCAAAAAGAAAAAGUUAUGAGAUGUUUUCCAAAUGAGUAAACAAGUUAAAACAUCUUUUAAGAGCAAUAACCAUAUUUCUACCGAAAGACCUUUAGAAUUGGUACAUAUAGAUCUUUUUGGUCUAACUAGAAAUAAAAUCUUAAAUGGUAAUAAAUAUGUGUUUGCGAUUAUUGAUAAUUUUAUAACGCAUGGUUUUGUUUUUGAAAUUAAAAGAUUAAACUAUUUAUGAAUUUGUAAAAUUUUAAAGAAGGUUGAAAAUGAAAAAGGUUUUUUGAUUAUAAACAUAAGGAGUGAUCAUGAUGGUGAAUUUGUUAGUGAUUUGUUUGAAAAGUUUUGUGGAAAAAAAGGAUAUCACCAUAAUUUUUCAACAUAUAGAACUCUCUAAUAAAAUAGAGUUGUGGAAAGGAAAAUAUGGUUUCUUCAAGACAUGACAAGAACUAUGUUAAAUGAAUUUGAUGUACCAAAAUGUUUUUAGGCUGAAGCUGUAAACACAUAUUUUUUAAAUCAUGUUACCUUAAAACCAAAGUUGUAAAAGACUCAUUAUGAGCUUCGGAGAGGGAGGAAACCUAACAUCUCGUAUUUUAAAGUUCUUGAUUCAAAAUGUUUUAUUCUUAACACCAAAGAUAAAUUGGAUAAAUUUGACUCAAAAUCUAAUGUUAUAUUUUUUUCUCUGUUAUUUCUCCUCAAGCAAAGCAUAUAGAGUCUAUCAUAAUAGAACAAUUUGUCUUGAAGAAUUAAUAUAUGUCGCCUUCAAGGAAACUCAAAAUGAUAAAAUUGUUGAGAUUAUUGAUAACAUUAAUGAAAGUGGUCAACAUUCGAGUCUUAAUGAUAAAACUCCCAUGGAGGCUAACAAUAAUAAAAAUAAAAAAAAUAAACAAAAACCAACCAAGCACAAGCAAUCAAUAAGAGAUUGUAAAUAACUCUUUUAUUCCACCAAAAGAGCUAAGGUACGUAAUCUCUUACCCUUUUAAGUUAAUUAUUGACAACCAUUUUGAAGAACAAAGGCUAUAACUUCAUUUACAAAUAUAAUGGUCAUUUUGUUUUUGUUUCAUAUAUAAAACCUAAAUCAUUUCUUGAAACUAAAAAUGAUGAUAAAUGAAUUUCAGUCAUGCAAGAUGAGUUAAACCAAUUCAAAAGAAAAUUAUAUAUGAGAACUAGUCCUUAGACAUAACAACUAAUUAAUUAUUGGAACUAAAUGGGUUUUUAGGAACAAAAUUGAUGAGCAUGAUACUAUUGUUAGAAACAAAGCUAGACUAGUUGUCAAAUGUUAUAAUCACGAAGAAGAUAUUGAUUAUAAAUAAACCUUUGCACUGAUGGCUUGACUAAAAUAAAUAAGAAUGCUUUUAGCUUUUUGCAUGCCAUGUUAAUUUUACUCUUUUUUAAAUGAAUGUUAAAAGUGAAUUUUUAAAUGGUCUUAUUAUGAAAGAAGUGUAUGUUGAGCAACCUCAAUGUUUUAAAAACUUUCACUUUCCCGAUCACGUUUUCAAACUCAAAUAGGCUUUAUAUGGUUUAAAACAAGCAACAUAAGUAUGGUAUGAUAGAUUAAAAUCUUUUCUUAUUGAUAAUAAUUUUAACAUUGGUAAAAUUAACAUCACCCUCUCCAUAAAGAGAAAAAGGUAAAGAUAUCUUAUUUGUGUGAAUACAUGUUAAUGUUAUUAUAUUCGGUGCUACUAAGGAAUCUCUUUGUAAGGAAUUUGCAAUGAGCAUGAUGGGAGAAUUAAUUUUUUUUUUCUUAAAUUACAAAUCAAACAAGCAAAGGAUGACAUCUUCAUCAACCAAAGCAAGUGUAUCAAAGAUCUACUAAAAGAUUUGGGAUGAAACAUGUCAAAGAAGAUGACACACCCAUGAGAACAUCAACCAAACUUGAUAUGGAUGAAAAUGAUAAGAAUAUAGACAUCACCAAAUAUCGAGGUAUAAUCAAUUUAUUCUUAUAAUUAACUGUAAGUAUACUCGAUAUUGUGUUUUGUGUAUGUCUAUGUGGACAUUUUCAAACAUGUCCUAAAGAAUUCCAUGUUAGUGCUAUAAAAUGAAUUUCUUUGAUAUUUGCAAGGUAUAAUUGAUUUAGUGUUGUGGUAUUUGAAAGGAAACAAGUUGAAUUUGAUUAGUUAUUCAGAUGCUGGAUUUAUUGAGUGUAAAGUUGAUAAAAAUAAUACUAGUGAAACUUGUUAUUUUAAGAUCAUCACUAGUAUAUUGGGCUAGUAAGAAACAAAACUCAGUAGCCUUAUUAACAAUUGAAGUCGAAUAUAUUAUAGCGAGUAGUUGUUGUGCACAAAGUUUAUGGAUGAAACAAAUCUUAAAAGACUCUGGUCCUAAUUUUGAUAAUAUAUUGUUGGUUAAUUAUGCUUAAUUGUUUAUUUAAAUUAAUCACAAUAUUUGUAAACAUUAGUUGAACACCUAAUUCAACUUUUUUAGGUGUUAUUGUUGCCUUAAUCCUAGAACAACAGUUUCCAAAAAUAUACUUUACUCCUUCUGCUUUCCACUUUAUCACUUUUCAGCCCUUUUAGUUUUUUAAAAUGCAUUUUAGUCUAAAAUUUUAUUUUUCUUUUUUCUUAGUCUUUGUUUUAGAGUUGAGGGAUAAAGUUGUUAGAUUCCAAUGAUAGAGAGAAAAAAUAUUUGUUGACAUCGAUUUAGGCCAAUAAAAAAAGUCAAUUUUGAUGUUAAUAGGUUCCAAUCGAUGAGAGGAGUUCUAAUGGGGUGUUAUUUGUCCUUCCUAUUGCUUGAGAUGAUAAAUUUUAGCUCAACAAGGUUUUUGAAUUCUAGUUGAUUUUGGGUUUAUGGACAUGUUUUUAGGUUAUUUGAUCCCAUAAACAAGCUUAAAAAGGUCUUUAGGGUAUUUCUAGAUGUUUUAGGUCACAAAUAGGUUGAAAAAAUAAAUUUUAUGGAAAAAAUACCACCACACUUAUUGUUCAGCGACUCUCUAUUCAUUGGAUUCUGGAGACAUAGAUGACAUGUCUUCCACCUCAUUUUAUUUUUUAAAUAGUGAGCAGACGAUGCAUUGUCCACCCUCUAUUAUUAGGAAAAAAAGACUCAACGAGUCGGCCAUGCCUAUGUUUAUGGGCCAAAUGUGUGGCUUGGCCUGCGCACUUGGCCUAAUUGAUAUUUUUUUAAAUGGUAUUUUUUUUGUUUAAUUCUUUUUUAGCUCUUUAAAAUUAAAUAAAAAAUAUUCAUCCUUUGUCAUUUAAGUUUCUCCUUUUGUUAUUUUCAUUAAAAAAAACCUUUUUGUUUAUUUAACUUUAAAAAAGGGCUUUUUUUUUCAACCCCACACUUUAUGUGAUUAAAUAAAGAAUAAUUUAAAAUAUAAAAAGUUAUUAAAUUCAAUUUGAUACAUAACCCAAAACACGAGUUUAACAGGUUGAACUAGAUUCACUUAGGUUGUUUUUUUUGUCUUUUUUGAAUUGAAUAUUUAUAAUUUAUAAUUUAGUCAUUCAACAUUCAGUUCCUGGGGUAUUGAGCCUCGUUAUUUGUUUUAAUUUGUUUUUGAUGGAUUAUCAUGGUCUUAUUAUUUAGGUCACAAAUUGAGUUGGUUAACUCUAAUUGACUCGAGUCGAUCUAACAUGUUGUUGUUACAAUAUUUGAGAAAAUAAUUAUUCAAUUUAUCACCACCUUAAUAUUUUAAAAAUAUAUCAUAAAAUAUGUGUUGGAUUCUAUAUCCAUGAUUAAUUCUUUUUUAGAAAACACGUCAUCAAUCCCUAAGGGUUCUUUUUUUUGCAUUAGAAAAAAAGAUUUAUGGAAGAGUGUGCUUUUAAAAUCUUUUGGUUCAAAAAUAUAUUAUUGUUAAAUAAAAAUAAUAAUUUAUUUCCCCUCAAGAUUGUUUCGGUCAUCCAAAAUGAUGGAUAUAAUCAUAAGAAUUUUUUUAUUUUUUAAAAAAAUAUUAAAUUGAUAAUAUUUUUAAUGAUUUUAAUAAAAAAUAAAAAAAUUAUUUUAAAGUGUUUUUAUAGAUUGAUAAACAUUUUAUACACAAUUAUUAUGCUGCCCUACAUUAAAAAAAUAUAUAACUCUCUUUCACUAUAGUCAAAUAACCCUUGAAGGUUUAUCCUUUUAAUAAAUAAUUGUAUUUGUUAUUAGUUGAUCUUAAAAAAAAUUAUAUGUUUUUUAUACAUAUCAUCAACAAGUUUUGUUAUUUUCUAUUUCCAUAGCCGAUUUUAUCUUGUGACAAUAUUAUAGAGAGAGGUUUAUUAGCUUUUAUUGCAAACUAAAUUCUCUUUUUUGUUCUAGUGAUACUCAUCUAAAUUUUAGGCACACAUAUGAAUUUUGAAACAUUUAUUUUUAUUUUAAAUAUAAAAAACAAUAAUGCUAUAUAAUUGAUUAAUUUUUAGAAUUAGAAAAACUAUUUAAUUUAUUAUUAAAAUAAAAACCAAGAGACUAAUUUAUAAUUUAUUGUGUUAUUGAGUUUAUUUGUCUAAAAAUAUGCAAUGUGUAUUAAUGAUAUGUUAAACCGUUUAUUAUUAUGGUAAGUUUUAUUUUUUUUAUUUUAUUAUAAGAAAAAAAUUGUUUGAUUAGUAACAUAAUUUAUAUUUUUAAAUUCAACCCCUCAUAUAAUUAUAUUUCAAACAUUAAUUUUAUAAAAAAAUAAAAUAAUUUGUUUAUCUCAGAACAAUUUUAACUAAACAAUUUAUAUUUUUAAAAUUACUAACAAAAUUACUUAUUUAAAAUAUUAAAACAAAACUGCAAUCACGUAAGCUAAACACUACCUAAUCUAACUUGCGUUUUGCAUUUUGUUAUCUUGACGAUGAGAGCAGCUAGCUUAAGGUUAUUAAAUUAUUUGACUGGAUGACGAACUGAGAGAGGUUUUUGUUGUCGUUACUUGUUAUUUUAAUGAAAUCUUUGUGUAUUCAAUUCAUGGAAGUCUAUACAAUGACAAUAAUGCAUCGUGGUAGAAGGAUUGGUGAGGGAGUUCCACUUGUGUUACGGUGAACCAUACUUCUAACCUUUUUUUAUUUAAUUGUUUUAGUUGCGAAUGAUUUCUUCAUUAUAUUUGAUUAAAAGAGUAAUUGACCAAUUUAUUUUUAUAUAUUUGAUAGUAUUCUUUGACAUGUUCAUCCUUAUAUAUUUAUUAUUUUCUCCCAUAUACUUUUUUUAUUAUUUUUUUUUAUAAAAUACCCCUCCAACUAUAAGAACAUAAAGUGGGUGAUACUUAACUAUAAAAAAUUAAAGAAACUUGAAAACUUUAGGAAAAGAACUUAUAAAACAUAAUAACUAUAAAAAGAAAAAAGAAAAAAAAUGAAAGUAUCUAGCAAAAUCAAAAGGUUAAAAAAACUGAUCUGAUUUUGCAGGACACGAGUUCUAAAAUUUUUUCAUUAGUCUCUAUGGUUUUUCUAUGAAUUAUUUUAAUUUUUUUGAAUUGUUCAAAGUUUUUUUCUUUCUAAAUUUUUUAAUUUUAAAGUUUUUUUGUUCUUAGAUUCGGUUAACUUUUAAAAAAAUUCUAAUUUUUUAUAUCCUUAUAAAUAUAUAAGGAUAUAUGAAUUUUAAGAAAAUUCUCACAUGGAGAAAUAUGUUCAAGGAUCGAUGAAUAUAAUGUCCUUAAAUCAUAUCUCUCUCUUUUUCUAAAUUGAAAUUCAUUUGCCAAUAAUUAUUCUUCUAACUUGAAUUUUGAUUUUCAAUUAUGAAAAAGUUUUUUUCUUUAUUUUUUCCUAAGAAUAUAUUUAGAAAGUUUGUUUUCGUGUUAAUAAUUUUAAGGUUUUAAUACACACACACUAAUUCUUUGUGUUUAUACAUAUUGUGGUUUUCUUGGGUUUUUUAUGGAAUAUAUAUAUCAAUAAAAAAAGGAACUAAUCCUAGAGAUCAUUUACCGGACACACAUGCAUUAUCCAUAUUUUUACAAAUCAUUAUUGAUAAAAAAAAAAGUGGUUUUUUUUUCAUUUUAAUCUCUGUUUUUUUUUUUAUUGAAUCUUUUUCUAGCGAAGUUGAUGGUUAAUUAUUUCAAAUUUGUUAACAAAAACUAAAAUUAAAGGAUAAACGACCAAAGAGAAAAUAGGUGGUUGUUUCUAUUGAUCUUUAGGUAAUAUAUUUAUGAUUUUAUAUAUAUAUAUAUAUAUAUUGAUGAUGAUGAUAAUAUCAAAAUUAUAUUAAUAAUAUGCUUGGUUGAGAAUAAGCUUUAAACAUGUAAGAAUACAUCAACAAGCAUGGAUCAGGUCCAAAAAGGAAGCAAAAUGAAUUUUUCAUUUUAGUGCUCAUAUAUAAAUCUUUAUAUCAUACUUGAUAACACUAACAAAAAUGAAUUUACACACUUUACUUUGCAUACAUUUUAAAAGAAAUGAUAAAACGAUUCUAAGAAUUCAUCAGGUUUAAACUACCAAAACUAGAAUUAUACGUGAACUAGUUGAUCGUUUGGUGAUACCAAAUAUUGUUUAGUGAGUUAUAGACAUCAUAGUUUUCAAUUGCAUUAUCUACUCUUUGCAAGAGUGUUGUCACAUUUCAAAGAAUUGUAAACCUUGAAGAGUUUAGGAAAAAAAACUCUUGGUCAUUGGUGAGAUGCAUCACCAAGGUAAAAAAUCUUAAAAUUGAUAUUUCUUCAAGUGGUGAAAAAAAGGACUUAAUAAGGAUUCAUCAAGGACAUUGUAAUCUCUAGCUUGGAUUAGUUAAUAAUAUAAUACUCAAGACCGGUUUGGUAUGAGGUGUGGAUGUGAGUUUGUUGAACCACAUUAAAAAUCGAGUUUGUAAUAUGUCUUCCUUAUCCUUUAACUUUACGCAAUUUAAGUAAAUUGUUGGUUAAUUGUGUUUAAUGUUUUUUUUUAAUUAAUUGCAAUAUUUGUUAACAUUAGUGGAACAUCUAAUUCACCCAUUUAGGUGUUAUUGUUUCCUUAAUCCUAUAUAACAACAAUUGGCAUUAGAGUUUGGUUUUCAUUUAUAUAAGUUUGCUUAAACUUUGAGUAGAAUUGUAACCAUUAGUUUUAAUGUACAAAUUGAAGGAUCAUCAAUCUCUAGGCCACCUUUUUUUAAUGGUAAUGACUAUGCCUAUUGGAAAGUUAUGAGUUAGUAUCUUUAAUCCAUUGAAUCUGAUUUAUUGUUAUUUAUAGAGAAUGGACCUUAUAAACCUAUCAGAACUGAAAAUGGUGUUACAAUUCCUAAGGCUAUGAGUGAGUAUAUGAUGAAAAUAGUGUUACAUUAUCCAUUGCAUGACAAGUGUUAAAGACUUGUUACGGUACUCACACUCAAUAUCGUAUUCAACAAAUCAAAGGGUGAGUUACAGUCCUUGAAUAAAUGUACUUAUUCUUUAAAAGAUUAUUUACACAAAGCAAAAUCUUUGGCUGUCUCUCUAUGGUGCAGGAAAACCAAUGAAUGAUGAUGAUUUCAUCAUUUGCAUUUUUCAAGGAUUAGGAUCUGAAUUUGAUCUUAUAGUAACAAAAUUGAAUACAAGAGAUAUAUUUUCAUCUCUUGAAGGAGUUAUUGGCAAACUCCAUGAAUUUGAAAUUAAACUUCAAGAAGCACGAGCAAAUACUUCUAACAUUGCUUUUUAUACAAAUCGUGGCUGAAAAAACUCAAAGCCAUGGGUGAACCCUGGCACUUAAGGCUGUAAUAUCACAAUUUCACUAGAAGAAAUUCCAUGGGCAAUACUUCAUCAUCACGAGCUAAAAAGACUCGAUUCCCUCACUUUAAUAUAGGCUCAUCUGGAACUCGUCAGAUACAAUUCUCACAUCAUGGUGGUCGUGGAUAUGGUGGCAUCACUUGUUUUCAAUGUGGGGGGGGGGGGCUAAUCACAAAGCAGACAAAUGUUUUGCUUUUAACGAAGAUCAGUAUAAAGCUUUAGCUACUAUCAAAAUUGGAGAAUUUAUAGAAGAGAUCUGGUAUUCUAACACGAGUGCAAACCAACAUAUGGCCUCUAACACAAAUAAAGUUCAAGGUAUUAACUCUUAUCUUGGCAACGAUUCUUUCAUGGUUGGUAAUGGUCAUGACUUGCCUAUCAUUAGCACUGGACACAUUCUUUUUCUUACCACUAAUAUGAAGUUAAAUGAUGUUCAUAUGGUUCCUGCAAUUAAGAAGAAACUACCAUCUGUCUCUCAAUUUAAAAGAGAAAAAUAAUUGUUAUUUUCUGUUUUAUCCAUGGGGAUUUGUUUUCAAGGACAUAAAGAUGAAUUAGGUUGUCCUUAAGGGAUCCAUAAAGGAUGGGUUGUAUCCGAUCAACUGCAACAACUUUCAACAUCUCCAGUUAGUUUUUUAGCCAAUAAAGUAUCUAACAUCUUGUGGCAUGUACGACUUGACCAUCCUCAAGCUCGGAUUCUUAUAACGUUAUGUUUACCAUCUAUAAAUAAACAAAAUGCUUUCUAUGAAGGCUAUGUCUUGGGAAAAUCAACAAAGUUACCAUUUGAAUCUCAUAAAUCUUAUACUACUUCUUUUUUGUAUACACUUCACACAGAUGUAUGGGGUCCUGCAUAUGUUUCUUCUUAUGAUGGCUAUUAGUUUUAUUUAAUCAUUGUUGAUGAAUAUUCUUGAUAUAUAUGGUUCUUUCUUAUGAAUUAGAUUUGACGUAGCAACAAUAUUAUCUACUUUCCUCAAGCAAAUGGAAAAAUAAUUUGAUGUUUAUGUUAAAAUAACUCAAAGUGAUGGGGGUGGUGAGUUUAUUAAUCAAAGCCUGCACAAUCUUUUAAAAACUAAGGGUAUCAUUCAUAGAUUCUUAUGUCCAUAAACACUAGAACAAAAUGAAUUGGUUGAACGUCGUCAAUGGCAUAUUGUGGAAUAUGGAUUAACAUUGUAAUCACAUGCUUCUGUUUCAAUACAAUUCUGAACAGUAGCUUUUCAUACCGCAAUAUUUCUAAUAAAUCAUCUACCUACUUCAGUUCUUGGUUACAACUCACCGCAUGAAGUUAUUUUUGUUUAUGCUUCUGCUUAUAAUUCCCUACGAGUUUUUGGGUGCUCCUGCUACCCAUUACUUGCACAAUUUGGUCGAUCAAAAUUGGACUUUAAAUCCACAUGGUAUGUGUUUCUUGGUUAUUCAAAUAAUCACAAAGGAUAUCUCUGUCUUGAACCUUAGACAAGUCGCUUCUACAUAUCUCAUCAUAUGAAAUUUAAUGAAUCCCAGUUUCCCUAUAGAUGCAUGCAGAAACCUGACACAUAUAUUUCUCAGUUAUUUAAAGUUAGAGCACUUCCUCGACUACUCAAGACCAUGACUGAAAAAACAAUUGUCUUAACUCAACAAAUAAUACAUCAUGUUUCAUCAAAAAUUGUCCAAAGUGUAUCAGUAUCUUAGUCUCAAUUCCUGAACCAAUUCCUCUAUUCACUACACUAGAAUUCAAUACUUUAGCACCAGAGGCUUCUCCCAUACUUGCUCCACAACGACAUCAUCAUAUGGUUACACGAGCUCAAAUAAGGAAGUUAAAACCUAAGGUAUUCUUCUCUUCAUAACAUCCAAUACCUGUUUGUUUUGUUGCUGACCUUAUCACUCAAUAACAAGAGCUAGCGUACUUCAACAUCUGUAAUGGCAUCAAGCAAUGCAAGAUGAAAUGGAUGCUCUUCACACCAACAAUACCUGAACUUUGGUACCUAAACAGCCAAACAUGAAUGUUAUCAGUAGUAAAUGGGUGUUCAAAAUCAAAACACGAUCUGAUAGCUCUAUUGAAAGGUAUAAAGCUCAACUAGUGACUCGUGGAUUUACACAACAACCAAGCCUAGAUUAUGAUGAAACCUUUAGUCCAAUCAUCAAACCAAGUACUAUUUAGUUAAUCUAUACCAUUGGGUUAUCUCAAGGCUUGUCUGUCAGACAACUAGAUGUUAGUAAUGUUUUUCUUCAUGGUGACCUACACGAACAAGUAUGUUUGGCUCAACCCCAAGUUUUGAGGAUUUAUCCCAUCCAGAUCAUGUUUAUUGUCUCCAUAAAGCUUUGUAAGGUUUAAAGCAGCCCUUUGCCCUUAGUACCUAAAAUUCAGCACUUAUAUCCAACAAAUGAGAUUCACAUAAUGUCCCUAUGAUCAAUCUUUAUUAUAUCACACUAAAGGAUCAGACAUUCUUCAUUUACUUAUUUAUGUUGAUGACAUUCUUUUAAUAGGAAGUUCCUCUUCACAGAUUAACAAGUUUAUUGCACACCUAUCUUUCAUCUUCUAUAUGAAAGAUCUUGGUGACAUUCAUUACUUCUUAGGUCUUCAAAUUGCUUGUGAUGAGUCCACUAUCACUCAUACAAGGUAUUUACUGUUUCUUCUUUAAAAGUUUGGUCUUGAUGGCACCAAACUUGUAAGCACUCCACUAGGGCCUUUAAUGUCUGUUGUUGAUGGUGUUCCCUAAGUUAAUCAUUUUCUUUAUCGCCGUUUGGUUGGCUCAUUAUAAUAUCUCACUCUAACCAAACUCGACAUCUCCUAUGUUGUUCAUCAAGUCUGUCAAUUCAUGCAAGCACCCCAUGAUAUUCACCUCAUUGUUGUUAAAAGGAUUUUUCAGUAUCUAAAGGAUACUCUCAAUGUUGGUCUUCACUACAUCCGUACCUCUAUUCAUAAACUUCGUGGUUUUUGUGAUGUCAAUUGGGCUAGUUGCAAGGAUGACAAACAUUCCACUACUGGUUUUGCUAUCUUUUUGGGUGAUAAUUUGAUAUCUUAAAGCGCUAAGAAACAAGCUAUUAUGUCUCGAUCAACAGCCGAGGCUAAAUACCGUGUCUUAGCCUCAACUAUAGGUGAGCUUAUGUGGUUUGUGCAUUUACUCAAGAAUAUUGGCUAUUGUGUCCCUCCUUCUACAUUGUAUAGUGACAAUAUUAAUGCCAUUCAUAUAGCUAAGAAUCUAAUGUUCCAUCACCGUACAAACACCUCGAAAUUGAUGUUCACUUUGUUCAUGAAUGGGUUGCGAGUGGUGUUCUCUCUUUGGCAUACAUUCCAGGAUCGGAUCAAAUUGUGGAUGUUUUUACCGAAUCCCUUUAUGCUACAAAAUUUAUUCCAAAUCAUGGCAAGCUUUGUCUCAGUUCAGCCCCACCUUGAGCUUGAGGGGGAUGAUGAGAUAUAGAGAUAUGCAGAUGCAAAGAUCUUACUGAGAUCUCUUUACUGAGAGAUCCUCUAUUAGGAUCUCUCUACCAGGAUCCUCCCUAUUUAUUCACUUCAUGAUCUCCAUAAUAUUUGUAAUUCAUUAUGUUUCUAUAAUCUCUGUAGACAAAUCAUACACACACACACACACAUAUAUAUAGUAAGCAUCAAUCUUGCAUAAAUGUCCUACAAUGCCUAUUUAAAGGUAAUAAAAAUAUAUAGAAAUAUAAGUUUAGCUCUUCCUAUAAGCAUCAUCUUUUUCUUUUUCAACAAUAGCAUGCUAUAAAUAAUUGAUAGGUUGAGAGACCUUUAUAGAAAGAGCCCUUAUAGAUUAUGAUGCUAAAAAAUAAAAAAUAUAUAUAUUAGAAGACAAGUUAUCUAAUAAGGUAUAAUAAAUAACUAAAGUAUAAAGAUUUCUCACCAAAAGUUUUUUUUGCUCAAUUUCCUAGCUGAUCUACUCGCUAGAUUUUUAGUAAGCCUUCUCUUACCAUCUUUUGUAAAAGGUUCUUCAUCAUAUAAAAGUUUCUUAGCCAUCCUUUUUAAAGAAGGGUUUAAGAUGAUAUAUAUAUUGCUUUCUUGUACAAUAGGAAAAACCUUAAUUAAUUUCCUAAUAUUAGCAUAAAGUCUCUCACACUAUAGAAUCCAAAAUUAUGUUUUGUUAACUAUGUUACAUUUUUCACUUCCUUUAGAAUUUUGAAAAUUAUUGUCUAAAUGAGAACUAUUAAUGAUAAGUACAUUAGAAAUGGAACACAUUAUACAAACUUUGAUUGUCUUGCCACGAAAUAAAGGUUAUAGGGCUCAUAAGAAAAAUAGUUGUUCCUUUAUAAUAAAUCUAUCACUAAACUAAACUGUAGAUUCUUUUAGGUUAGAAUAAUUUUUCACACUACAAUGUUCUCCUCUCCCUUAGAAUUUAUCCUUUGACGUUUAAGAAUCAAUAGCCAUCUAGAACAUGUUCUUAUAGCACUAAAAUGACCAUGGAUCGGUCACUCCUUUGUCAUGGAUAGAAAAAUAAUAGGGAGUCUAAAUUCGACAACACGACACUAGAUUCAUGAAAAUUUAUAGUUUCCCAUGCUUAAAUCCACCAUAAAAUUCAAUAAAAGUUUCAUUUUAUCAUGAAAGGGUGGUUGGUCUUCACCUCUCACUUGGCAUUCCUCUAAUACCAUAUAUAUAUAUAUGAUUUAACAUAAAAGGUCUUAGGACAAUGGUCCUACCAUUAGCCAAGGUCACCACUAUAUUUAACUAGGCCUUAUUUAAUUUAUAAGACCUCGAAAAAAUUAAAUAUCUAUAUGCCCAAAAGAGAAGACAAAAAAAAAAAAAAAAAGAAGCUAUAUGUUCUAUCUAGAAGGAAAAUUUAGUUCCUUUCUUCUCCUUCUUAAAAAUAACACUAUAUUUAGGAGUACUUACCAGUAUGUCUUCAAAUUGGCUUAUAAUAAAUUAUAUGGAUGUACAAAGCUAACCUCUUGAGUAUAGGCUUCUAUUAAAGCCAAAACAUAUAGAAAUAUCAUUUGCAUCCUAUACCUAAAUACAAAGAUGUUAUUUGAUUUAACUAAAAAAUAAUAAAGUUGUCACAUUUCCUUGCUAGGCUUAGUGGUAAUCCCAUAUAGUUGGAUUAUGUCAAAGAAUCUAUUAGCAUGGUUUUUUCUCUUUAUAUAUUGAGGUUUGCUUGAUUUUUCUAGAGUGAAACCUUUCUUUAUACAUCUAAGGCAAACAAGUUAUCUUCUUCUUAUAGAAUUUCUUCUUGAUAUUGCCCGAAGACAUUCUUAAAUCAAUUUUUUUAGGGAAUGCUGAUGAUAGAUCAAUGUACAUUAGUGAUUCAAUCUAUGUAAUGCUAGAAGUGGGUGAUAAGAGAAGGGUUUUAUUUUGCAAAGCUUGAAGAUGUCAUUUAUGUGUUUAAAGAGAGAAGUAAGGUUAAAGUUUAUCCUCUUUUUUUAGAAAUCAUUAAUUUCUUUAAAUAAGGAUUGGGGGCUUUUUAAGAAAUGAUAGGAAGUUAAUUGAUUGAAUUGAUAAAUUAACUAUAAAUCAAAAUUGUAGUUAUUGUAACUGUAAUAUCAGCUAGAAAACAUUUAAUUUAGAAAUUUCUUAAAUGUCAACAUAUUAGACAAUGAAAUAUGGUGGACAUUUUGGAAAAAUAGUUUUUGAUUUUCCAUUUCAUUCAUGGUCAAUUUUAUGAUUGAUUGAAAUAUAAAAGGCAAAUCAAUAUUCUUUCAUUUAUAUUAAAUAAAGAAAUAUGGAUGCAUUAUUUAUAUCAAAGUUAAACCGUUCAUGUAUCAUGUGAUUAAGAACAAUAAAUUUUAUUAUUAGUUUUUAAGAAAAAUAAUGAAGAAAAAUAAAAUCAAACAUCAACCAAUAAAGAAGGUUAAGCUCAAAAAUCAAUCUAUAUAUAUAUAUAACCUAACUUAUGGAUAUUAUAAAUUGAUAUAAACAUAUGUUAUUAUAGAGAUGUUUACCAGAAAAAUAUGUGCAAGUAAAUAAGUGCAAAUUAUGCUAGGAUUAAGAUUGUACAUUCUUUAUAUGUUAUAGAUUGUUGUUUAAGCUUAAGAUUUUAUGUUUAUGUGAGAUUUUAUCUCUAUAAAAAUAUAAAUAAUCAUCUAAUAGCUUAAAACAAUGGUUAGUCUUAUAUACAUAAUUUAUUAUACAAUUUACUCAUAAUUUUAUGCUACUUAUUGCUUUCUUUACGUAUGACAAUAUAUUUCUUUUCCUUACACAUUUUACUAGUCACUUAUGCGUGCUUCAAUUCAAGUUGAAUCAAAAGUUAAUUUUCUAAAAAGAUGUUCAGGCGUUUUAAGUGUGUUUUUUAGCUUAAAGAAAAAAAAUUAAUUGUUAAAUAAAAAUUUAACACAUGAGUUUAAUCAAAUAAAUCAAGAAUUAUAUAUGUGAAUAAAUGUUAAAAAGAGUCAUAAACGCUUGCUAAAAAAUAAAUUAAAAAUUCAAGAGAUAGAUACAGAUUAAAAUAGUUGAUCUCGUGCCAAAGAGGAGUUUAUCAAUUUUGUUUAUUUAAUUAUAUGUCAAUUUUUCUUAUAAGAAAAUUAAUAAUUUAAAUUUCAAUGAAAAAAGUAAUUUGCAUGUAUAAUUCCUUCUUUUCUUAAAAAUAUAUUUUUCUCUAAAAGAAUAUAGUUUUUUGUUUUUCACUAUAUGCUUUAUUUGAUAAAAACUAAGAGAAAUUAGAAAAAAUAUCAAAAACAAAUAUGAACGAUUUGAAAUAAUGAUAUAAAAACAAAGUCUCUUCAAUUAAAACCCCUUCAUCUUAUUAAUGAGGUUCUUUUGUUACCAUAAUAUUUAUUUUAUUUUAAAAAAGCUUAUCGGAAUCAUAAAGACAAGUUUUAAUAAAAAAAAACAAUUUUUUUUGAUAAUCUUGACAUGAAUACAUUAAAAAUAUAAGAAUAAUACAUUGCUCGAGCAAUUCCACAAUAAAAUUUUUAGAGUUUAUUUUUUAUCUAAUUAUACAAUAAUAAAAUAGACAUGGGUAGAAAAAUCAAUGAAUAAAGUUUUAAAAAAAAAUCAUGAAAGAGUAUAAAAAGAUCACUCACUAAUAUUAUGAAAAGAACACUAUAGUCUUAGUCAUAGUUUUGAAACCCGACCCGGUCAUUGACCCAGUCGACCUUCUAGGUCACGGGUCAGGUGGGUUGACCCGGGUUAACCCGGGUCAACCCAAAAAAACCUAUAUAAAAAAAAAAACAUAACUAAUUACAAUACAACACUUACUUAAACCAAAUUUAAAUUAUAAACCAACAACAUAAAUGAAUUGUUAAACCAAACUCUAAAUUACUCAAUUUUUUCCUCUACACUUUUGCAUGGUGAGCAUUGCCUUCAAAUUUUAUGGUCUCAUGAUUGAUGCUGAAGCAAUGGUGAUAAUGCUGAUAACUAGACCAUGCUGAAAUGAACUUUUCAAUAUUGCCCAUCUAAGAAGGUUAGUUUGAUACUGGCAUAAUAAUUACAAGAGAUUAACUAGGGAAAGUUACUCUCUUGAUUGCCUUCUGAACAUUUUUAUAUUACAUCUUACAUCAAGCAGUUACCUUCAUAUAAAGCUAAUUUCCAGUACCACCUGCUUAAAGAAACAGCAGACUAGGAGAUUGAGUUGGAAAGGAAUAAAAAAAAGAAAUCAUGUAUAGGUUUUACUGCAAAGGAUUAUAUAUUUGUUACGAAUCCAGAGCGGAUGAGAAAUGCUAACAACUUAGGCGUUUGUCAGCAAUUCAGAUCCUGAACCUCGGAUCUAAUGGUAUAUCAGGUUCUUUCCCUUAUGAUGAACUCUCCGAACUCAAGAACUUAACCAUCCUUUUUCUUCAAUCCAACAACUUCUCUGGCCCAUUGCCUUCAGAUUUCUCAGUCUGGAAUAAUCUCACAAUUCUUAAUAUUUCCAAUAAUGGCUUCAAUGGGAGCUUUCCUCCUUCAAUAUCAAAUUUGACUCACCUCACAUCUUUGAACCUUGCUAACAACUUCCUUUCAGGCAAUAUUCCUGAUAUAAAUGUCUCUAGUUUGCAACAGCUAGAAUUAGCCAACAAUAAUUUUACUGGAAGUAUGCCCAAGUCUCUUCAAAGAUUUCCAAGUUCUGCAUUUUCUGGUAACAAUCUUUCAUCAGAAAAUGCCCUUCCCCCUGCUCUUGUUUCUAAUACGUUGCAGAUAUAUACUUUCAAGUGAAGAACGAUGAAGACAUUUUGCAAACACUUACUACAGAAAAUGAGAUACAUGAGCAGCAGAUUAAGGUAGAAACAGAACAAACAACACAAACUCGUCAAAUGAACAAAUCAGACGCCUUUAUUUCUCUAAAAUUCCUCUUCGUUAAUCACUAAUUACAAAAACAACACAAACAAACCUCGAAUAAUUAAGUUCAUAAAACAUGCUAGAAACAGAGACUGUGUUGUUUGUUUGCAUAGAAACAGAGACUGUUGCUCAAAAUCAUAAAGAAAAGAAACAUAGAAAUCAUGCCAGGAUGGUUGAAUGAUUAUGUAACAGUUGUAUGAAUCGACAGAGAGUUCAUCAAGAAGUGAUGAAGAACACAGACGAAUUGAAUUGAUGAAGAAAAUACAGACACUGUAGCAGCAAUCGGGUUGGAGAAACAUACCUGAGGGCUGAGGUUUCUUUCUUCUGCGAAAUCGAUUGAAGAACCCAGAAGUAUGAACUUGAAUCGCAGCGAGUGAAGAAACACAGAAGUAUGAACUUGAAACUGAAAUUGAUGCCAGAACCUAGAAAUGAGAAAACGCGAAGAAUAAACAAAACAGAGAGUGAAAGAAGGAGAUUCAAACCUUUUUCGCAGAGAUCAAUGGUUAAUUCGUUCUUCUUCUGCUUCGUUCAAUUCGGGCGACACAGAUUAGGUCUUCGUUCUUCGUUCGAUUGCUUCGUUCUUCUUCUGCUUCGCUUUUCGGUGCGAUUGUAUAUUUUAGAGUCAUUAAACGGCGUCGUUUAAUGACAGGGGGAGUAAAAAAAAAUAGUGGCCGGGUCUCACCCGGGUUUGGCUGGGUGGACCGGGUCCCGGGUCGACCGGGUUUGACCGGGCCAAUUCCCAAGCGGAUUUUGGCCUCCACCCGGACCGGUUCCAUGCCCGGGUCGGCCGGGUCGACCCGUCGGGCCGAUCCGGGUUUAAAAACUAUGGUCUUAGUUGAAAACCAAGUAAAAAUAGAAUAAUAUUUAAUAAAAUGAUAUCCUUGAUAUAUUUUGAAGUAAUUUAUUUAAAUACAACUUAAUUAAAAUAGAAUAAAAAAGCCAUAAAUACCUUAACAAAAAAAAAAGGUUGUGCAAUUAAGCUUGGGUGGGCUAGCACACUUGGCCCAUCACAAAGGAGGCCAAGUCCACAUGCUUUGCAAUCUUCUUUUUUAAAAAAAUAAAUAAAUUAUGAGAAUGAUGUGGUGUUUAUAGUGGUAGACGACACAAACUUUAAAUAAUUUAAUGUGAUUAAAAAGUCAAGUCCCUACUUAUUAUAUAUAUAUAUAAAAAAAAAAAAAAAACCAACCCAUUUUAUACUUGAAAAUACUAAAGAAACACCCUAUAAACCUCCACAAACCAAUAUAUAAUCUCUAAUCAACCAUUUAUUUGUCAAAAAAACUAAAACAUCAUCCAAUUCAAAGAUGUUAUCUAUUUUUUCUAGCAAGAUAAAGUAAAAAACACCUCAAUAAAGCUCUUCUCGUCAAAUAGAACUCAUUGAUAUAAAUAUCAAUUUUUUUAUUAUCAAGAUGUUAUUGACUGAUAACUUCCUUUCAUGUCUCUCAUUUUCCUUUGAUUUCUCUUUUAUUGCAAACACCAUGACUGAAACAUGAAAAAAAUAGUUUUGAAUCAAAAUAUAGAAUGUUAAAACUAAAGGAAUCAAAUGAGGAGUUAAUAGAGAAUAUGUGAAUAAAAGUGAAAUUAUUCACCUAAAUUUCAAAUGAGCCACAAUUUUUUUUUAGCUUGGUUAUUUCCCUUUUAAUUGUAUAUUUAAAAUUUCAAACUUUAUUGGCCUCUAAUCAAGUUUUAAAAUCCGACUAAAACCUUGAAUUCCCGAGAAUAUACAAAUAGAAAAGACCAUAAACCAAAAGAAAACGACCACAAGCCGUACUGAAUUUUUUUCAUUCAGCCAGGAACGCUUCUUCCCUUUACUACAACCAGCUUCAUCCUUUUUUCUCUUUUUUUUCUUUUUAUAAGAGCUUCAUCUCCUCCCUUUUUAAACAAGGAAAAUCACCUUGCAACUUGCAAGUCAGCAAAUAACAAAUGGAAAUCUAUCCUUGAAGUUUCUUCCAUACCACCAUAUACUUUACCAUCAAAGAAUAAUAUUAUCUUACAACCAUGAAACAGGCAGUCAAUUCACCAAUACAUCUUACGUGUCCUCCAAGGAAUUUGUUUUUUUCACAAUACGUAGGGAAUUAAGGAAGAAAAUGCUACAAUGCUACAACAAAAAGAAAGCUUCACAGCCGUCCAAUAAAUAACCAAAUGAGAGGGGAAAGAACACAAAAGAUUAGCUUUGAACAGUCAUUCAACAAAAAGCUCCAAGGUGCUUCAUCUUGACCAAAGAGAUUGGAAAUGACAAAGCACAUAAUGAUCUUGAAUAGAGUGAUAUGUUAAAGUUUUAAAGCAGCAGAAGAAUGGUGAUGAGCAUAGCCAAAUUGGACAGGAAGAUGCACGCACCAAUCUUGGGCAGCCCAUUUGGAGGUCCCGGUGGUACUGCUGCAGCUCCACCGCCUGGACCGGGGCAAUUGCUGUAUUAGAGGGCAAGGGUCCCUCCUCAACAUCAGAUGCAGUUAACACUGGGUUUGGAGGCUCAGCUGGGGGCAUGGCAGGUUGGAUUAGCUGCAUGAGAUCGCCAGGCUGAGCGGGCUCAUGUAAGGACGUAAACUACUGUUAUUGCCCAAGCAUCGGUUCCCUGCAAUAAAUGGAGCAAUGUGUUACUAAAUGGCAAACAGAUAUCACUACAUGUCUGGUGGAUAAAUUUAUUAUGGAAUUUCCCUAAAAUCUGAAAUGAGACUAGCACAAAUAUAUGGCUGUUAAUAUAUUCUCAAGUCAUAUUGUAUGAUCCUAACCUGAUUUCUACAUGUACUAUGCGAAUCUAUUUUUCUCAGCCUAGUACAGUAUGAAUUAAACUGACAUUUUCAUGAGAACAAGAUCAUCUAAGGAAUAAUUUGUCCAGAACAUAAACUUCGUCCAGGAUUCACCUGUAUUGUUGCAUAUAAACUAGAAACAUCAGUGACUUACUCUUGUAUCUGGCAGAAGUCAGAGGGAAUUCUGUGAUAACACCGCUGAUGUUGGCUCCCAUGACGUAGGAGUUAAUUUCAACUGUUGAAUCUGAGAAGAAGUCCCAUGCCUGAGAUACAAACUCAUUGCUGAAAGUUUCCACAUAAACUGAGAGCCCAUGCGAUUGCAGCUUUGGCACAACAUUUGUGACACCAAUGAGGAAUGAAGAACUUUCAGGAAAGACAGAGGCCUUGCUGAUGACCACGGAAUUAGCAAACUCUUUGAUGUCCUUCAGUGCAGCAUCUUGAGCAUCUUGAAUAUCCUCUUCAAUCCGGUACACAAGCUCAUAAUUGUUUUUGUCCCUAAAUUUCAUUAGAACUGAGCUGUUGGUGGACUCAAUCAUAACUUUCUUGGAAGUUGGAUCAUCAUAACCAGCUUUGCUCAAGACAUCAAGUACUUUGUCAGUAACGGGCAAUCCCUCUUUCUCUAUAAGAUAGGCUGCAUUCUGAAACGAACAGAACAGACAAUAAACAUCAGUCAGGUGGGAACAACCUUCAUUUUUUCUACUGAGCUGCAUGAAAUGUGGACAAAAAAAAAUCACAUAUUCUUCUUUUUUUUGGCUGCUGUUGAAGACCUUAUUCUAUUAUUCUAUGAGAGAAAUCCUCAGGCGUGCAAUUAUAGCUCAAAUAUCUGUACUAAGCAUGUGAGCUACUCAUGAGACUAGAAGCGUGGCAGGAAGUUACGCCAAAGGAUGCGGUUAAUACAACCACAGGAACCAAUGCCAUCUUUAUUGCUACAAAAGAAAUGAAAAUGCAGAUUGCUAGCAGAUGAGAUAUCUGAAAUGAGCAACCAUUGAAUAUGAUGGUCUAUUAAGUUUCAUCAACCAUGGAAACUAAUACCGUGUGUGAAAUGGUUUCCAAGUUGGGGAAGAAACAUAAAAGAGAUAAUAUGUUCCACUGACAGAACUAACCAAUUAAGCACUGCUUUUGUUUACUAAUAAGGUGUAGUGUGAUGAUAAAUUUGAUUUUGAUAACAUGUUUUGCAUCCAACAGGAAAAGAUAUAAAAUUUCCACAAACAAUCAAAGGAAUAUUAAGUGCAAGCAUAUGCAAGUUCAGAGUAAAAACACAGCAAAUGCUAUAGCAUGAAUCAGAUGAUUCAAACGAAGGAUCAUGUACGAGUAAUGUGAGCUUAGCAAAAACUCACCUCAAUGCUAAUCAAGACACCAGAAAGCGAGCUAGUGUUCUUUGCCAAUGCUAAGAAAUCAGACAAUGUUAGAAACUUCCCUGAAUUUCUGAAUUUGGGAUUCCGUAUCAAUUCAAAUUUUGAAUAUGGAUUGGAAAUCACCGCUACAAUGAAAAAAGAAACGGAUCAAUACAAAAUCAUUAUCUUCAAUGAAAACAUUUUGACAAUCAUACAUCCACAAAGAAGCAUAAUAUGGAAUUCAAACAACAACAACUAGAUUACAAAGCAGAAUUUAGAGUUCGGCAGGAGUAAAAAAAAAAAGAGCAGAGGAAUAUUUCUGUUCCUUUUCUCACAAAAUUCUACCUUUUAAAAUGUAAAGAGAGCAAAAUCAAAAGAAUGGUGCCAGGCAAAGGACAUUUGCGUUUAGUAUUGUUCCAAGAAUUGUAAUCUCUGUAAUUCUUUUGAUGUAUUUAUUCUCAAAUCUCAAGUGGUGGGAAUAGCUGGUUAUGAGAUCGUGUCUUGUGACUCCCACGACCAAGACAUCAUUUCCUUUGAGCCCUAGAUGGAUGUGUUUUUUGGCUGGCCACUCUUUAUUUGUCUUCCUCAAUGUCCUACAUUAUUUUAACUUUGUGAUCCAGUAAUGAGCAUUCUAUUUUAGCAGAAUGUGAGGAUUGAGUAAUGCCCCCCACGUAAUUGUUUGUUUAUAGGCCAAACUUUUUCCCGCACUAAAAGGAAAAAAUUAUAAAAAAAUCAUGUUUUAUUGGGAAGGGGGUGCAACAGAAGAUUGAAAAGCAAAGAAGUAAAAGGCAACCAGUUUGAACUUACGAGUUAAGUUCUGAAUCUCACUCCAUGCUAAGCUAAAGGUGAAUAUCCCAUUGCCUGCCUUAAUCUGUGGAAUAAUCUGUGAACGAUUGCUGUAACUUGAUUGGGCAACUGUUGUACUAUCAUAAAGAUUUAUAGAGCCUAAGCAAAAUGGUAUCCCGUCUUUUGAUAUUUGAACAGGGCAAUCAAUAACAUCAGCACCAUCUAAAAUAGCAUUCUGGUAAGCCAAAUCAGUGCAACCAGGGUAGUCUCCACUUGCACCAUUUUUUGAAAUGACCGAAAGGUUCACUGAACCAUGAGAAAAGGAGGACAGAAGAGGUAAGUACUAAUGUUCAAAAAUGCAAUAUCCUUUGAAGUUAAAUCUCAUAUAAAAAGAAUCAGAAAAUAAUUUGCACCUUGAGGUGCAUUCUUGCCUAGACCAGAAAAACAAUCUGCAAUACAGAAGGAGAAAUCAGAAUCUCAAAAUAUUUAUUCUCCGGAUUAGGAGAAAUAUCCAGACAGAACUUAAGCAUAUAAUCUUUAACUCCAACCAAAAGAUUACAGCUAGGAUAAGAAGAGAAAUUGUCUCAAUGGUUCUAUGAGUCAAUGAAAACAGCAGUCACAGUACUAAACCUUUUAAGUUCGACCAAAAUUUGAAUCAUACAGUGAUAAGGAAUCAAGUACCAAGCAUGUUCUGACAUGAGAAGCUAGAAGUAGCAACAGUUGAAAGUUCAAUGAUGGUAGGCAAGCUAACAACUGCUCCCAUAAAGAAAUUAGUGCCAAAUGUCCACUUAUUUAAGUUGAAAAAUACUAGAUUGAACCAAUAGUUCACGGUUUGUUCAGAU